UAUUAAUUUUUUGCAGAAAUGUUCAGUUACAUACCUCCUUUGGAGAUGCUCUAAGAGCAGCUCCAUCAGUUAAAACCUCUAAAAAUUUCUAAAACAAAAAAAUAAUGUUAUUAUAAUAAUUUAGUUACACAUUAAUUUUUUAAAACCAAUUGAAACAAUGAUAGUGUAACAUCUGUCGUUUGAUGUUUAGAACCAGUCCUUAAAUGCUCUAAUUAAGAACUUUUCUACGCUUUCUUACUAAUAUUAAUUACUUUUUCAUUUUUCUUUAAUUUUAAGAACUUCUUUAAAAGCUCACCAAUAGAGCUGGUCUAAGUAUUUAAAAGGAAGGUGAUCAUUUUCUCUCAACCCAAAAUAAAACAUCUCCAGAAAAGGAAAAGAGAUAGAAAGAUAAGGAAAAGAGAUAGAAAGAUAACAAUGUCGGCACAGAAGAUUCAAUUUGCUUCUUUGAUCCUAGCUUUUUCUCUUCUGUUUUCUCAAUCAACUGGUGAGUGUAACUAUAGAUACCCAGUACCACCCGUAGCAAUUUGUAAGAAGAAUGACGACUGCAAGAACGCGUGCGUGCCGCCUUCAGAAGAUCCAAAUUAUCUAGAGUGCAUUACUUCCCGUUCUCCCCCAAAGUAUUUUGGCACAUGUUGUUGUUUACUAAAAGAAAAAUAGUCUUACCUAUCAUAAGAUUUAAUAUCAAUCUAAAAAAUAAUGUUUGCAUCGUUUGAAA
Long non-coding RNA from Brassica napus (rape), 715 nucleotides. RefSeq lists it as uncharacterized. The transcript has 2 exons. The record is from RefSeq and is a predicted model, not a curated record. NCBI's taxonomy places the organism in Eukaryota, Viridiplantae, Streptophyta, Magnoliopsida, Brassicales, Brassicaceae.